CGCACGAUUAAUUUAUAGCAACACAUCUAAUCCCCUGUUAUAUUUACUCUAUUGGUAAAUACAUAAACUUCCACGAAAACUUUAUGCAAAUUACACAAAGUUUCGAAAAAAUAAAAUACGUAGAUGCAAUGUACAGUAAACGAGAGAUCGAAAGCACGUAUAUAUCGGCGUUUUUUAAUCUACUACACUACGUUCAUAGUGUAAUUGAUUUAAAUGGUUGACGGUAACGAAGAUUUAUCGAUAUUUUUCUUCGGAACGAAUAUAAUUUUUGCCAGUCGACAGAAUUCGAACGACGAGAUAAAAGGAACGAAACUGCGUUCCCCAUUAUACCUCUGGAGACAAUCAAAACGUCAUUAGAGCAUGCGCACUCAUCAACUAUCCGGGAACUGUUGGUCGAAGGAAGGAACUGGGUCAGUAGGACUCAAUACAAAUCGCUUUAAAUUUGAUAGAAAGUUUUUCAAUUUUGUUAAUACGACGAAUUAAUAUAGGAUUUUAAAUACUCUAGAGUCUUCCGAUCGGCGCGGAUGAUGCCGUUAACGUUAGUUUGAGGUGAUUUUAUUUUCUUGGAUAAGCCAAACGCAUGAUUUGAUUCUUGGAAAGAAGACAAGGAUCAAGCAGAUGUGAUAAAAGAUUGACUUGGAUCCCUGCAAGUGGAUUGCAAUUGGAUACAUACACAAAAUACAAUUUUACAGUUAGUCUGUUAUCUAUAAUCAACAAGAGAAAACACACCUGGAUAAUAAGUUUUCAGUCAACUGACAUCUACACAAAAUAUAUUAAAACUUCAGUCAAUUACACUUCAAGAAAUGAUAUAACUUGCAUAAAUGAAAACCAGUACAAAUGAAUUCAAAAUAUACAUCUCACUGUAUCAUAUGAUACAAAUACAUACUUCCAUAAAUAGAAGUUUAUAAUUUUGUAUUUGUAUUUUAACUGUCAAAAAGAUAACCAAUAUUUUACCUAACUGUACAUGUAUGUAUUCAGUGCAUUCAAAAAAUAAUUUUAAACUGAAUUUGUAUUCCAUUUUAAUUUUUUCAUUUAGU
Centruroides sculpturatus (bark scorpion) is the source of this 1037-nucleotide long non-coding RNA. RefSeq lists it as uncharacterized. The transcript has 3 exons. The record is from RefSeq and is a predicted model, not a curated record. Lineage: Eukaryota; Metazoa; Arthropoda; Arachnida; Scorpiones; Buthidae.